This 253-nucleotide ribosomal RNA is filed under the name uncultured bacterium. RNAcentral's name for it is "partial 16S ribosomal RNA". It matches the Rfam family "Bacterial small subunit ribosomal RNA", at positions 524 to 776 of the family's 1533-position model. The record is from RNAcentral.
UACGGAGGGUGCAAGCGUUAUCCGGAUUCACUGGGUUUAAAGGGUGCGUAGGUUGAUAGGUAAGUCAGUGGUGAAAUACUCCGACUCAAUCGGAGAACUGCCGUUGAUACUAUCUAUCUUGAAUACGGUGGAGGCGGGCGGAAUGCGUCAUGUAGUGGUGAAAUACUUAGAUAUGACGCAGAACACCCAUUGCGAAGGCAGCUCGCUACACCGGCAUUGACACUGAGGCACGAAAGCGUGGGGAGCGAACAGG